ACCAAGACAGAAGCGCGUCUUGGCAAGGCAGCCGGGGAAGCACCAGCCAUGCUUUGGAGAUGUCCCGUCUUCUACGUUUUCAUCUUCUGUACCGGGGUCUCUUUGGAUGUAAGUUUGGAACAAGUUGACCAGAUAACUGUUGUAGCUGGGGCCCGUGCCGUCUUCAACUGCACUGUAACGGGAGGAGACUUGAGGAAGUUUCGAAUGAGCUGGUACAAGAGGAGUGAAGAUAACGCUCUGAUUUUGGUAUACAAACUAAAUAACAAUUCUACUGAGGAUUUCAUGGGCAAUUUCAAAGGGAAAAUUGACAUUUCAGAAAGUCGGUUUAUACUUGACAUUCAAAAGGCAACAACGAAAGACGCCGGGACUUAUUACUGUGGGUCAGAUAUCCACAGUGCUGCAGUUACUGCUUCUAAUCACUUCAAAACAAAGUCUAGGGUCGGUCAGACAAAGGCGGCAGACCCAAUGAGCGACCAUCUCAGGCUGAACUCAGCACCACAUGUGAGAUGGGACCUCCUGAUUGCACUGACAGUCGCCUCUGAUAAGAGGGACUGGAGCGGAGUUGGGGCAAAGCCUGAUCUUUGAAGUUUCUACGCCAGUUGUGGCUAAGAGAAAGAAUCACUAAGAGUUUAUGUGGAGAGACCCACAGGCCCUCAACCUCAGCUUGCCAACAUGGCUUCUUAUCCAAACGGCAAGCUGAUGAGCAGAUUGUCUUCCAUCAUGAGUGCUGUAGCUCACCGGAAGCUUGCCUUGCAGAAACUAGCUAACACAAAGAUUGUUUUCCAUCAGCAUUCUAACCAAAGUUUCCAAAGUGAUCAACACUAGUUUUCACUCUUCCUCUGCAGGGUGAGUAGGGUUGUUUUCUGAAAUGUUUUCGUGAGUUUCAGGUUAAAGGCUUUCUGUCUUGACUGGAGAAGAGCUCUGAGGCCCCAGGGGCACAGGCAGAGAGGGGUAAUACACAUACAGACCUCCUUCUCAGGUUCCUAGAAGAAUCUUGUAAACAGUUAACAGUCACCAUUAUAUGGACUGAGCUGACCAAGAAUCAAAUUAAUAAAAUACGUGGAUUAUCACCUACGAAGGGCUGAGUCUACAGGGUGUGAGGUCCAGAGGAGCCCAGUAAACAGGCUGGUGGGCAGGCACUUAAAGAGGCAAGCAUUCGAGAAUCAUUGGGGACAUAUUCUAGCAGCCAGCAUUUCUUCUGCUCAGAGGUCUUCUCCUUGUGUAAAGAGAAACUUAGCAAGCAUACCUAGAAGAAAUGACUGUGGAAAUUCUAAGUAAGAUCUUGAAAUGCCUUCCAGUCAACAUUCUUUACAAUGCCACCUUCCCACACAUGAUUUAAAAAGCCUCUGAUGGCGUUCAUGGUAUUAGGCUGGGUCAUGAGAAUAGAAAAGGGAAAUUCUUAUCUAGGUGCUUACAGUUUUCUUUAGUAGACCUGGCAUCAGCAAUUACAAAAUUACAAAAGAACACAAAAAUGCAAGGACCAAAUAUGAACAAAUAAUGAUCCAUGUAUGAAAAUGUCAUUUUGAAGCCUGUUACUUAGUAAACUAACUUAAAAUUGAAAAUAUCAAAAUUUUAAAAAUAUAACACAUACUAGCUAUAUAACAAUGAAUAUUACUGAUUUUAUUUGCAAUGCCCUAAGAGUUUGAGAAAGACCAAUUUCUGUGUAAAAGGUUUUCCUAGAACUUUUAGGCUUGAAAGAGUCAAGAUUUGAAUAAAUGAAGAAAGGUUUUUCCCAGUAGGCAUACAAGUUAUUAUUGUAAAUUACCUCAAAAUUUAAAGGCUCAACCUCAAAACAUUCAUUUCAUUGUGCCACAUUCUCUGUGGGUCAGAAAUGCAAGUAUGGUAGCUGGCUCCUCUGGCUCCAGAGUCCUCAUCAGGUUGCAGCUUGAUUAGAAGAUCUACCUUAAGCUCACCCACACAGUAUCGAUAGGUUCGGCUCUCAUCAGGUUACAGCUUGAUUAGAUCUACCUUAAGCUCACCCACACGGUAUCGAUAGCUUGUGCUAGUUAUUUCUGGUUGCUGUGAUAAGACGCCAAGACCAGGACAGCAUAUAAAAGGAAGCAUUUAAUUUGACUCAUAAUUUCAGAGGAUUAGAGUCCAUGAUGGCGGAUCGAAAGAAAAACUGAGAGCUCACAUCUUCAUCCACAACCAUGAGGCAGAGAGAGACAGGGAGGGAGAGAGAGAAGAGAGAGAACUAGGAAUUGCAUAAGUCUUUUGAAACCUUAAAUCCCUUCCCUAGGACCUCUUCCAAGGUCAUACUUCCUAAUCCUUCCCCACUAACUGGUGACCAAAUAUUCACAUACAUGAGCCUAUUGGGCCAUUCUCAUUCAAACCAUCACACAACCUGAGUCCUCAACAGGGGUAUCUCCAUAAAGCUCUUUUUUUUUUAAUUAAUGAAAUCUUUUCAUUUGCUUACAUACCAACCACAGUUUUCCCUCCUCCCUCUCCUCUCAUUCUCUACCCCCUCCCACCUCCCAUCUACCCCCUUCCCAUAUACCCCUCUCCCCAACCACCCUUCUGUCUCCAUUCAGAAAGCGGCAGGCCUCCCAUGAGUGUCAACAAAGGAUGGCACAUCAAGAUGAGGCAGGACCAAGCUCCUCCCCCUGCAUCAAGGCUGGGCAUGGCGACCCAGUAUGAGGACUAAGGCCAGGACUCUGCAGAAGGAGUUGUCUGCAUUAGAAGUCUUUCCACAGUCUAUCUGGGAAGGGACAUUCCACCACUCCCUUAACAGCGGUGAGUGGGUAAGUGAAGCUGCAUUGAAGAAGAAGGGCUACAUCUGCGUAUGAAUACCAAAAACAGCUCACCUUAGCCCACCUACAGUAAGGGACUGGAGCAGAGAGCAUGGAAAGAAAAGUCUAAAAGUUGGUAUAACCGACUUGUUGAAAUGAAAGAUCUCUGGCUAUGAGGCAAGGAGAUGUGAGUUUAUCUUACAGUAGACCAAGACGUUGUUGCACAUAUAAAACACCUUGGGGAAACUGUUUCAAAUAUACGUUCUUGAGCUUGAUGUAGUGUUUCUAAUUCUGGCUUCCCAGGGAAAGGACCACAAUCAAUUAACUACUUGGCUAUGUUUUUGAGGCAAGUUGCCCAUAUGCUGCCUGGCCCAGCCUUUAACUCAUCCUGAUGCUCCUUCUUAACUUCUCAAGCUCUGGGAUUAUCAACACGUACCUCUAUGCUUGAAAAGAGUAUCUUUUCACAGAAAGUGCCCAAGGUGACUUUGAUGCAGGUAAUCCAAAGGCCUGCUGUGAGAGCCCCUGAGUGAUCAGACAAGGAAGAGCUGGGGUUUUGUUUGUUUAGUACAGUGCCUGGGAUUGAACCCAGGGCCUUGCUUCUUGUCUCUUGCCCUGAUUCAGAGAAACAGCCAGCAGCUGUGGUCACUUUACCUCCAGAGCAAUGAUUCUCACUCAAUUCCAUCCUAAUAUUUGAAUCACCUGGGGGAAAUUCUUUGAGACUAUCAGUGUCUGGUAUAUAUUUCCAGAGAUUUUGAUUUAACCAGCAUAUGUGUUCUGGCUUCCAGAAUAACUCAGGUAACUCCUUGCUUCCUGUCCUCUAAGACUGAAAACGACUGGUCUAAGCAAACUCUUCUCGGCAUCCUCCAAACUGAUGUCAUCAGUAUUGCCUAGUUGUUUUUCCAAUUGAGAAAUCCUACAUAUCACCCUGUAUCUACUAAAUCAGAAUCAGAAUCUGUGUUUUAACAAGGUCCCUGGCCGGGCGGUGGUGGCGCACGCCUUUAAUCCCAGCACUCGGGAGGCAGAGGCAGGCAGAUCUCUGGGAGUUCCAGGCCAGCCUGGUCUAUAAGAGCUAGUUCCAGGACAGGCACCAAAGCUACAGAGAAACCCUGUCUCGAAAAAAAAAAAAAAAACAAGGUCCCUGAACAAGUUAUAUUUGACCAUAUAUAAUUCAUAGAUCAUCCACUGAAAUCCAGCCUCUCCUCCCACCAGCUUAAGAUCAAGUUGGAAAUAAAACACGAGUCUUCAGUGCACACUUACUUCUCAUUACAAGAAGAGCAGUAGAGGACAGGAGGAGAGGGCUCACCCAUUCCCUCACAGCAGUGGUUCUCAACCUUCCGAAUGCUGCUGCCCUUUAACACAGCUCCUUAUGCUGCAGUGACCCCCAACCGUAAACCUUUUUUCAGUGCUACUUCAUAGCUGUAGUUUUGCUACUGUUAUGAAUUAUAAUGUAAGUAUUUGUGGAGCCAGAGAUUUGUCCAAGGGGUCACGGCUCACAGGCUGAGAACCACUGCUUUACAGGCUGCAUGAUGUAGGAGUGUCAUCUGUCUAUGUGUUACUUUCAUUGGAGGAGGAAGGAGGAGGAAUGAGAGAGAGAGAAGAAAGGAGAAAGAAGAGAUUUAAAGGUAAAGGCGUAGAGCAGUUCCCAACCUACAAGUCGGAAGCCUUCAUAUGACACCCAAGCCUCAUACUUAGGUGGAGACAUGCCCACUGAAGGCCUCACCUAGUGUGAACAACGAAAGAUUUCUGCAAAAAUCCUGAAGCCAAAUGAAUGACACAAAAAUUGUCUAUUAAUUUUAUAUUACCCACACUCUUCCCAACUCUUCCAAUAAAAGCAAUUGAUACCAAACCAGUUUGUAUAAUUGUUAUUUUCAUUCUUCUUUUGUAAUGUUUAUGCAUCAUGGAAAGAACUUGGUUGACCAGUGUUCACUGAAAGGAAAUCUCUCUCUAAAAAAAAAAA
Molecule: non-coding RNA, 4686 nt
Organism: Alexandromys fortis (reed vole)
Lineage: Eukaryota; Metazoa; Chordata; Mammalia; Rodentia; Cricetidae
Source: the annotation of a RefSeq genome assembly